Anas platyrhynchos (mallard) is the source of this 1084-nucleotide long non-coding RNA. RefSeq lists it as uncharacterized. The record is from RefSeq and is a predicted model, not a curated record. Lineage: Eukaryota; Metazoa; Chordata; Aves; Anseriformes; Anatidae.
UCUUAUCAUCUGUAGCUAAUUGCUCUGUGCCCCCACAACCCAUCUGUCCACAUCAGUUGGGCUUCUCAGGAGGAAACGAGACCUUUUGCUACAUGUCUCUAAAUUCAGAUGUAAUCCGUGUGUUUUAGCAAUGGGGAAGAUUUGAGUUGUGAAGCCCCUUCCGUGUUGUGUGGUUCUGGCUGUGAUUUUAGAGAAGAAUCCUCAGUGCUCUUAAAUUCCACAUCCUUAACUGUGCUCCUCCAGAAGUGGAUUCCUAAACUUGUGAUCCUCCGCAGGACUUCACAAGGGUGCUUGGGCGCAGUGGGGACCUUGGCUGCUCCAACAGCUGGGCCACACAGCAGAGGGAGCUGCUGAGAUGACAUUGCCACGGCCUGUGACACUCAGAAGGCUUCUGCUGCCUCUCCUUGCUGGACUAGCUGUGUGUGGCCUCUGUGCAACCCGGCUGAAUCAGGUUGCCUCCCCAAGGUUUCUGGGCUCAGCACUGACAGUUUAGGCUUGGCACAUGACAGCCCGGACCUGCAACUUCUGGGACUGUCGAUUGCAUAAGGACUCUCCUGUUAAAACCUAACUUUGCAUGUGCCCAGAUAUAAAUGGGCCUUUUCAGGCCUUGCAACUUAGUAAAAUUGUAUUCACUCAGUCAUAUUUCCCUUCCCCUCUACCUCUCUAACAUGCUAAAAACUGUUUUAAAAAUGACUCCAAAUAAUUUCUGAGCAUACUGGAAAAAGUUGGAAGAGUUAUUUAGCAAGGGCAAUACAACAUUUUUUUAUUUUUAUUUUAUUUUUUUCUUGACCUCACUCUUGUAAGAUACCAAGCUGUUGGCUUUAAUUGACACAAGAUAAGUAUGAGGCAGAUAUUUGGCAUAGGAGAGCUUAGUUUUCAAAGAUUAAAAAGAACUAUGAGCCAUAAAGAAGUUGGUCUUACAAAGUAAUAGAAAAUAGGAAAUACUUUUAAAGGAGGAAAUACUUUUUCUGUCAAUUUCUGUAUAAGUUAUGUAUCAUAAAAUACAGUUCAACAGUGCACAGUUAAGGAUAUUAUAAAAUAUCUGUAUUAAUGAGUUACUGGUGAUAAAAAUACAAUUUUAUAA